RNAcentral lists this unclassified non-coding RNA (237 nucleotides) under Hevea brasiliensis (rubber tree). Lineage: Eukaryota; Viridiplantae; Streptophyta; Magnoliopsida; Malpighiales; Euphorbiaceae. The record is from RNAcentral.
UGAAGUGCCUCCUGUAGUUUAAAAAGGAGUGGGAGAAAAGGGUUCUUUUGAUCAAAAUCAUGGCCUGAUGGCUUUGCUAACAAAGGAUAUGUGGAAGGUGAGACCGAACAUGGAGAUAGAGGGGCAGAUGUUGAUAAAGAAAAUGGGUUCCUUAAUGGAGUAGUGGAGGCAGUGGAAGAACUGGAAGCUGGUUUAAAAAGUGCAAACUGAUUUGAAUUGUUCCACGGAGAAAAGGAA